RNAcentral lists this ribosomal RNA (269 nucleotides) under uncultured prokaryote. Its description in RNAcentral is "partial 16S ribosomal RNA". It matches the Rfam family "Bacterial small subunit ribosomal RNA", at positions 524 to 792 of the family's 1533-position model. The record is from RNAcentral.
UACGUAGGUGGCGAGCGUUGUCCGGAUUUACUGGGCGUAAAGGGAGCGUAGGCGGACUUUUAAGUGAGAUGUGAAGUACCCGGGCUCAACUUGGGUGCUGCAUUUCAAACUGGAAGUCUAGAGUGCAGGAGAGGAGAAUGGAAUUCCUAGUGUAGCGGUGAAAUGCGUAGAGAUUAGGAAGAACACCAGUGGCGAAGGCGAUUCUCUGGACUGUAACUGACGCUGAGGCUCGAAAGCGUGGGGAGCAAACAGGAUUAGAUACCCGCGUA